AACUGCGAAUGGCUCAUUAAAUCAGUUAUGGUUUCUUUGAUGGU
This 44-nucleotide ribosomal RNA is filed under the name uncultured marine Prymnesiales. Its description in RNAcentral is "partial Eukaryotic small subunit ribosomal RNA". The record is from RNAcentral. Lineage: Eukaryota; Haptophyta; Prymnesiales.